CAACCCCGGUUCUCCACACCAUCCUUGCUUGAUCGUCGUUGCUCCAUACCCGGUACACUCACCCUCGUGCUCCGUUCACCGGCCCUCUCCACCUCGGACUUCCCCCACGGCGUCCUCAAAAUGACAGCCGACCUAAAACCAGGCUCUCCAGAGAAACCAUCGACGUGCUGGUCCAGAUGUUGCCUCGGCUAAAGCCACAUGGAUGGAGCCAUGAAAUCGAGGUGGCUGUCCGUCUCUGCUGGCUUGCAUGUGGUACCUCAUACAGGGCCUUUCCGAAACUAGAGCCUCGCCACUUCCACUCCGACACGGAGCCAAAAUCGAGCUCCCUAACCCGCAACAGCGACAACUUUCGGACCAACUCCCCUCUCCCCUCUCCCCACUGCGUAAUUAGGAUCUGACGUUAGCGCCGCACUCACUGCUGAAAUACGUGGAUCAAAUAAACAACAGUGGUGUUAAGAUUCCGGAUCGAUGUUGGAGAAAAGUGUUUUUUGUUUUUCUCAAAUUUGAUGGCUGUCUCCAAAUAAUUUAAAAAAAGGGCAUGAUUCUGACAUUGUAAGAUUUGCUGUCUCACCUCAAGUCAAAUAUGUCUUUCCAGCGUAUUACUACUUG
This is a long non-coding RNA of Micropterus dolomieu (smallmouth bass), 609 nucleotides long. RefSeq lists it as uncharacterized. Lineage: Eukaryota; Metazoa; Chordata; Actinopteri; Centrarchiformes; Centrarchidae. The record is from RefSeq and is a predicted model, not a curated record. The transcript is spliced from 3 exons.